AAGGCUUACGGUGGAUUCCUUGGCAUUUAGAAGCGAUGAAGGGCGUGACUACCAACGAAAUGCUUCGGGGAGCUGGAAGUAAGCUACAAUCCGGAGGUUCCCGAAUGAGGCAACUCUUUAAUACUGCCUAUUGAAUUCAUAAAUAGGUAAGAGCUAACUUAGCGAACUGAAACAUCUUAGUAGCUAAAGGAAAAGAAAGCAAAAGCGAUUCCCUUAGUAGCGGUGAGCGAAAUGGGAACAGCCUAAACCACAUGAAUACGUUCUAGUGGGGUUGUGGGACAGUUAAAAAGGCAGAAAUGAGUUAGGUGAAGCAAUUGGAAUAUUGUAUCGUAGAAGGUGAUAAUCCUGUAGCCGAAAGCGAUUUUCUGUUUAUACUGUAUCCCGAGUAGCAUGAGGCACGUGGAAUCUCGUGUGAAUCAGCGAGGACUACCUCGUAAGGCUAAAUAUUCCUAAAUGACCGAUAGUGAACCAGUACCGUGAGGGAAAGGUGAAAAGAACCCCGGGAGGGGAGUGAAAUAGAACAUGAAACCGUAAGCUUACAAGCAGUAGGAGGACGACUCAACGUCUGACUGCGUGCAUGUUGAAGAAUGAGCCGGCGACUUGUAAAUGGUGGCGGGUUAAGAUAGAGAAUAUCAAAGCCACAGUGAAAGCGAGCUUUAAUAGAGCGUAAGUCACUAUUUACAGACCCGAACCCGGAUGAUCUAGCCAUGGCCAGGGUGAAGCUUAGGUAAUACUAAGUGGAGGUCCGAACCGACUGAUGUUGAAAAAUCAACGGACGAGCUGUGGCUAGGGGUGAAAUGCCAAUCGAAUCCGGAGCUAGCUGGUUCUCCCCGAAAUGCGUUUUGGCGCAGCGGUUGAUGCUUAAACUUAGGGGUAAAGCACUGUUUCGGUGCGGGCUGCGAGAGCGGUACCAAAUCGAGGCAAACUCUGAAUACUAAGUGUGUAGUCAACCAGUGAGACAGUGGGGGAUAAGCUUCAUUGUCAAAAGGGAAACAGCCCAGACCACCAGCUAAGGCCCCUAAAUAAUUGCUAAGUGGUAAAGGAAGUGGGAAUACAUAGNGAGGUUUGCUUAGAAGCAGCAACCCUUUAAAGAGUGCGUAAUAGCUCACUGGUCAAGUGAUCCUGCGCCGAAAAUGAAUGGGACUAAGUAUUUUGCCGAAGCUGUGGGAUGUCUAACAUCGGUAGGGGAGCGUUCUGUAUCAGAUCGAAGCAUUAGCGUAAGCGGAUGUGGACUAAACAGAAGUGAGAAUGUCGGCUUAAGUAGCGAAAACAUUGGUGAGAAUCCAAUGCCCCGAAAACCUAAGGUUUCCUUCGGAAGGUUCGUCCGCGAAGGGUGAGUCAGGUCCUAAGGCGAGGUUGAAAAACGUAGUCGAUGGAUAACAGGUUAAUAUUCCUGUACUGUUUAUUAUUGGUAUCGAGGGACAGAGAAGGCUAAAUUAGCCGGAUGUUGGUUACCGGUUUAAACUGUUAAGGUGAUGAAGGAUGGAGAAAACAUCUUGAGCUAAGCAGUGAAUACAAAACACCAAGGUGUUGAAGUAAUUGAUGUCAUACUUUCUAGAAAAGCUCGAAAUAUCUCAAAUAAUAAAUACCUGUACCCUAAACCGACACAGGUAGGUAAGUAGAGUAUACUAAGGGGCGCGAGAUAACUCUCUCUAAGGAACUCGGCAAAAUAACUCCGUAACUUCGGGAGAAGGAGUGCCUUAUUUAUAAGGUUGCAAUAACAAGAUCCAAGCAACUGUUUAUCAAAAACACAGGUCUCCGCGAAGUCGUAAGACAAUGUAUGGGGGCUGACUCCUGCCCAGUGCCGGAAGGUUAAAGAAGUUGGUUAAUCUUUAAGAUGAAGCUGACGACUGAAGCCCCGGUGAACGGCGGCCGUAACAAUAACGGUCCUAAGGUAGCGAAAUUCCUUGUCGGGUAAGUUCCGACCCGCACGAAAGGCGUAACGAUUUGGACACUGUCUCAGAGAGAGACUCGGUGAAAUAGACUUGUCUGUGAAGAUGCGGACUACCUGCACCAGGACAGAAAGACCCUAUGAAGCUUUACUGUAACUUGAAAUUGGUUUCGGGUUUUAUUUGCGCAGCAUAGGUGGGAGGCUUUGAUGUUAGUCUUACGGGAUUAAUGGAGCCAUCAGUGAGAUACCACUCUAAUAAAACUAGAACUCUAACCCUAUACCGUUAGCCGGUUAGGGGACAGUUUCAGGCGGGCAGUUUGACUGGGGCGGUCGCCUCCUAAAAGGUAACGGAGGCGUACAAAGGUUUCCUCAGAUCGGUCAGAAAUCGAUCGUAGAGUGCAAAGGCAAAAGGAAGCUUGACUGUGAGACCUACAAGUCGAACAGAGACGAAAGUCGGUCUUAGUGAUCUGGCGAUAUUGAGUGGAAAAGUCGUCACUCAACGGAUAAAAGUUACUCUAAGGAUAACAGGCUGAUCUCCCCCAAGAGUUCACAUCGACGGGGAGGUUUGGCACCUCGAUGUCGGCUCAUCGCAUCCUGGGGCGGUAGCACGUCCCAAGGGUUGGGCUGUUCGCCCAUGAAAGCGGUACGCGAGCUGGGUUCAGAACGUCGUGAGACAGUUCGGUCCAUAUCCGGUGUAGGCGUUAGAGUAUUGAGAGGAUUCUUCUUUAGUACGAGAGGACCGAGAAGAACAUACCGCUGGUGUACCAGUUAUCAUACCAAUGGUAAACGCUGGGUAGCUACGUAUGGAAAGGAUAACCGCUGAAAGCAUCUAAGUGGGAAGCCCACCUCAAGAUGAGUACUCUUAUUGU
RNAcentral lists this ribosomal RNA (2760 nucleotides) under Grateloupia filicina. RNAcentral describes it as "bacterial LSU rRNA". It matches the Rfam family "Bacterial large subunit ribosomal RNA". Lineage: Eukaryota; Rhodophyta; Florideophyceae; Halymeniales; Halymeniaceae. The record is from RNAcentral.